GAUGAACGCUGGCGGCGUGCCUAAUACAUGCAAGUCGAGCGAACAGGCGAGGAGCUUGCUCCUCUGACGUUAGCGGCGGACGGGUGAGUAACACGUGGAUAACCUACCUAUAAGACUGGGAUAACUUCGGGAAACCGGAGCUAAUACCGGAUAACAUGUUGAACCGCAUGGUUCAACAGUGAAAGACGGUUUUGCUGUCACUUAUAGAUGGAUCCGCGUCGCAUUAGCUAGUUGGUAAGGUAACGGCUUACCAAGGCAACGAUGCGUAGCCGACCUGAGGGGGUGAUCGGCCACACUGGAACUGAGACACGGUCCAGGCUCCUACGGGAGGCAGCAGUAGGGAAUCUUCCGCAAUGGGCGAAAGCCUGACGGAGCAACGCCGCGUGAGUGAAGAAGGUCUUCGGAUCGUAAAACUCUGUUAUUAGGGAAGAACAAAUGUGUAAGUAACUAUGCACGUCUUGACGGUACCUAAUCAGAAAGCCACGGCUAACUACGUG
Molecule: ribosomal RNA, 497 nt
Filed under: uncultured bacterium
Lineage: Bacteria
Description: partial 16S ribosomal RNA
Rfam family: Bacterial small subunit ribosomal RNA
Source: RNAcentral